GAUGAACGCUAGCGGGAGGCUUAACACAUGCAAGUCGAGGGGCAUCACGAGGUAGCAAUACUUUGGUGGCGACCGGCGCACGGGUGAGUAACACGUAUGCAACCUUCCCUGUACAGGGGGAUAACCCGGAGAAAUUCGGACUAAUACCCCAUGAUGAUAUUAUGGGGCAUCCUUUAAUAUUUAAAGCUCUGGCGGUACAGGAUGGGCAUGCGCGACAUUAGCUAGUUGGUAAGGUAACGGCUUACCAAGGCGACGAUGUUUAGGGGACCUGAGAGGGUUGUCCCCCACACUGGUACUGAGACACGGACCAGACUCCUACGGGAGGCAGCAGUGAGGAAUAUUGGUCAAUGGGCGCAAGCCUGAACCAGCCAUCCCGCGUGAAGGAAGAAUGCGCUACGCGUUAGUAAACUUCUUUUCCAGGGGGAGAAUAAUCCUGUCGUGACAGGACUUGACGGUACUCUGGGAAUAAGCAUCGGCUAACUCCGUG
RNAcentral lists this ribosomal RNA (487 nucleotides) under uncultured bacterium. RNAcentral describes it as "bacterial SSU rRNA". It matches the Rfam family "Bacterial small subunit ribosomal RNA", at positions 28 to 507 of the family's 1533-position model. The record is from RNAcentral.